Molecule: long non-coding RNA, 1398 nt
Filed under: Homo sapiens (human)
Lineage: Eukaryota; Metazoa; Chordata; Mammalia; Primates; Hominidae
Description: HSALNT0066922
Source: RNAcentral
GUCUCAGACUGAGGGAAAAGCAUAAAGAAACGCUGGCUGUGGACGCACCUUGGAAGGAGGCAAAGGAGAAAAGAAAGCAAGCACCCGACACAGCCCAGCGAGGCCCCAAGGAGGCCCCACGCCCCACUGCCUGUCUGCACUCUGCUGAAACCCACAUCCACGCCCCCAGGCCAGCUGGCAUCUUCCACGCUUCCCUGCUCUCUUGGGGCCUCCUCCCUCACGCCCUCAGUGUCACCUCGCCCUUUGCCCAAGACCAACAGACACCUGCCCACACGCAUGCAGGCCCAGAGUGGCCCGACCAGGCUUCCUCGCCCCUUGUUCUGUCCAGACACAAAGCUGACAUGGGAGUCCGGUCGGCAGACUCAUCCCCACACCCUGUACAAAGCUGGACACCCGCGGAGACCUCCGGAAGCCAAGAUCUAAGCGCUUCGAUCCCACAUUCACAAGCCCCCUCAGCGGGGAUUCCCAGACGCACGCUUCUCCUGAGAGAGUCCAGCCCCUCCUGGCGGCCGUGGUCCCUGGAUGCGGGUGCUCGAGGCCUGUGUGGUCUUCUCCCUGUGGCGGUGGUGAGUGUAAUGCCUCAGAAGACUCUGCCAGGGCAUUAAACAAAGUCAUACGCGAACCCCCCGGUGCACGGCAGUGGCAGAGGAGGUGAAGCCACGGGCCUUGAUGCUGUCAAGGUCUCGGGAGCCCUCCUCGCUGCGCUGGCCCCUGCUGCAGAGCCCGUCAUCAGAAGAAAGUGAUUUUUUUCCUAUGGGUUCUGACAGUUAAGGCCCUGGUGCCUCUUGAUGGCAAUCAGAGGGACUGGAAAACUCACUCUCUGCCUCAUUCCAACACUACCUACGGGUGGGACCCUCCCUGGGCCUCCUGGCCUGCAGCCUGGGGUCUCCAAGCUGCCUCAGGGCUUUCCGUCCCAUGUUCUGCCCGAGCCCUGAGCGGCCCUGUUGACUUGGGACAUGUGCCCCUUGGCUUGGCAGGGCUGCUGCUUCUCCCUUUCCAUCUCAUUGCUUCAAGCACAGACCAUUCCACAAUCACAAUGUAUUUACUUUCCAAAGCUGUGGAUACCAAAGGAAAAACUGUGGUAGCAGAGUACGGUGUAAUUAACGUGGAAUGUACCAGGGGAACCGAGGACAUGGCAGACAGACACCGCGUUCUCAAACAACCGCUUGCUGUUGAAGAGGGUCUAUUUUCUCCUCUCCCUCUCCCUUCCCAAGAGAUUAAAAUAAUAAACUCUAAGAAAUAAAUAAACGUGCUCAGCUUCACACAUACGAGGUUGACCCUGGCGCAGGUGCGUGGACUCACGUGUGGGGUAGCAGCUGGACAGCCAUGAUCUGUGUCCAUCACCACCCAGGCAUCAUGACCACAGAGAGACAUAUUUAGCACACACAUUACAGUGCC